GUCCACUAGAGAAGCCUCAGAUGCUCGAGAUAUUAAACCUGAUGUUGCAGGAGGUAAGAGCUAGGCUUGUUUCAUUAGGAAUAAGUUUGGAGGUAUCAGAAGCAGUAAUGGACCUCAUAUGCCAACAAGGAUUUGACAGAAACUAUGGCGCACGCCCUCUGAGGAGGGCUGUUACUCAAAUGGUUGAAGAUCUCCUGUGUGAAUCUGUACUUUCUGGGGAUUUCAAGCCUGGUGAUGUUGCUGUGAUCCAUUUAGAUGAAUCUGGAAAUCCUGUCGUCGUUAACCAGUCAAGCCAGAGUAUCCAAUUGUCUGAUACAAACGGAAAUCCAGUAGUCACCAACAGGUGAAGCCAGCAUAUCCAUUUAUCUGAUACAUCUGUACUGUAUUGUAAGGUAAUAACAACACGAUAUAGCUCACUGUAUAUGAGUUAAUUUUUUUGUAUAGUUUUAGAUAUAGCCCAUUCAUACAUGUAAAGACAUGCCACAGAAUUCUUU
This 494-nucleotide unclassified non-coding RNA is filed under the name Hevea brasiliensis (rubber tree). The record is from RNAcentral. Lineage: Eukaryota; Viridiplantae; Streptophyta; Magnoliopsida; Malpighiales; Euphorbiaceae.